Zingiber officinale is the source of this 1159-nucleotide long non-coding RNA. RefSeq lists it as uncharacterized. Lineage: Eukaryota; Viridiplantae; Streptophyta; Magnoliopsida; Zingiberales; Zingiberaceae. The record is from RefSeq and is a predicted model, not a curated record. The transcript is spliced from 4 exons.
GAGAAAGAACGAAGCUUUGCGGUGCCGUCUCUUUAUAUUCAACGACCGGGAGAGGGCAAACGGCACAAACAGGAAAUUCGCUAAACGGUCACUCUUCUCAUAGUUCUCCCCUAAUCAACGCCUCGGCCGUCUCACCUCCUUCUCCCGGCAGCAACAUAGCUCUCGUUCUGUUUAUUUAUUCGUCCUCCUUAGUCGAAGAAUGUUUUCGUCGGAGCAAUGGAAGUCAAAUGAAUUGGCAAAGACAAAAGAGGGAGAAGAAAUACAGUAAAUAGUUAAGAAUUAUGGAUUUUGGGAUGACAUGGUUGAUUGUCUGAACUUUGCUCUUCCUAUCAUUGAAGUACUUCUAAAGAUAGAUUCUGAUGAAAAACCAUGGGAUUCAUUUAUGAAGAGAUGAAACGUGCAAAAGAGAAUCUUCAAUCAUUGAAUAAUGCAAAAGGGUAUGAGCUUAUUUUAAAAAUAAUUAAUGAGAGAUGAAAUGCACAAAAUUCAUCCGCUGUAUGCAGCAAGUUAUUUUUUCAACCCUCGAUCCCACUAUGACCCCACUUUCGAGUUCCCUUCUGAAGUUCUUCAUGCAAUUCUUACAAUGCUGUUGAAAACAAACUGAAAGAUGAUGAUAAUGGAGACAAACUGUCAGACAAAAUGACAAACAGAAUGUCGUUGUCGGAACGAUUAAAUGAAUUUACAAAUACUUUGGGAUUGUUUGGAACCCAGGCUGCAAUUAUUGCGAGACAUACAAAAGAUCCAGUUAUGUGGUGGCAUUCAUAUGGAAAUGAUUGCCCUGAGCUGCAAUGGAUGGCAAUUCACCUAUUAAGUUUGACUUGUAAAUCUGCCGGAGGUGGAGAAAUCUGGAAACCAAUGGAGCAGGUUCGCCAGAAGAAAAGAAGCUUCUUGUAUCAAAAGAAGCUGAAUGAUCUGUUUCUUGUCAUUCAAAAUUUUAAAUCAAAAGCGCGACAAACUAGAACAAAAAUAUUUGAGGGCAUUAAUCCGGAAGUGUUGUCCUCAGAAUGAAUUGAUUACUGAAAAGGAAGUUGGUGACGUAAGUGGAGCAAAGGAUAUGCUUGUCAAUGUUGAUGCAGACGAGGAUGUUAGUGAAGGUAAGGAACUCCUACCGUCAAUCAGAACAAGUUAUCCUCAUAAAGUAGGGAAAACAAUAUUUUAA